AGAGAUGCCUUGGUGCCUUCGGGACCUCUGAGACAGGUGCUGCAUGGCUGUCGUCAGCUCGUGUUGUGAAAUGUUGGGUUAAGUCCCGNAACGAGCGCAACCCCUAUCCUUUGUUGCCAGCGAUUCGGUCGGGAACUCAAAGGAGACUGCCGGUGAUAAACCGGAGGAAGGUGGGGAUGACGUCAAGUCAUCAUGGUCCCUUACGAGUAGGGCUACACACGUGCUACAAUGGCGCAUACAAAGAGAAGCGACCUCGCGAGAGCAAGCGGACCUCAUAAAGUGCGUCGUAGUCCGGAUCGGAGUCUGCAACUCGACUCCGUGAAGUCGGAAUCGCUAGUAAUCGUAGAUCAGAAUGCUACGGUGAAUACGUUCCCGGGCCUUGUACACACCGCCCGUCACACCAUGGGAGUGGGUUGCAAAAGAAGUAGAUAGCUUAACCUUCGGGAGGGCGUUUACCACUUUGUGAUUCAUGACUGGGGUGAAGUCGUAACAAGGUAGGCGUAGCGAG
Molecule: ribosomal RNA, 508 nt
Filed under: uncultured bacterium
Lineage: Bacteria
Description: bacterial SSU rRNA
Rfam family: Bacterial small subunit ribosomal RNA
Source: RNAcentral